UAUGGCUCAACCAUAGAACUGCUUUGAAAACUGUUAACCUAGAAUAUGGGAGAGGUAGAUGGAAUUUCUGGUGUAGGGGUAAAAUCCGUAGAGAUCAGAAGGAAUACCGAUUGCGAAGGCGAUCUACUGGAACAUUAUUGACGCUGAGACGCGAAAGCGUGGGGAGCAAACAGGAUUAGAUACCCUGGUAGUCCACGCCCUAAACGAUGUACACUAGUUGUUGUGAGGCUAGACCUUGCAGUAAUGCAGUAAACACAUUAAGUGUACCGCCUGGGGAGUACGGUCGCAAGAUUAAAACUCAAAGGAAUAGACGGGGACCCGCACAAGCGGUGGAGCAUGUGGUUUAAUUCGACGAUACGCGAAGAACCUUACCUGGACUUGACAUAGUAAGAACUUUCUAGAGAUAGAUUGGUGUCUGCUUGCAGAAGCUUAUAUACAGGUGCUGCACGGCUGUCGUCAGCUCGUGUCGUGAGAUGUUGGGUUAAGUCCCGCAACGAGCGCAACCCUCGUCGUUAGUUGCUAACAGUUCGGCUGAGAACUCUAACGAGACUGCCUGGGUAACCAGGAGGAAGGUGAGGACGACGUCAAGUCAUCAUGGCCCUUACGUCCAGGGCUACACACGUGCUACAAUGGGGUAUACAAAGAGCAGCGAUACGGUGACGUGGAGCAAAUCUCAAAAAUAUCUCCCAGUUCGGAUAGUAGUCUGCAACUCGACUACUUGAAGUUGGAAUCGCUAGUAAUCGUAGAUCAGCAAUGCUACGGUGAAUACGUUCCCGGGUCUUGUACUCACCGCCCGUCACACCAUGGGAGUUGAACUCAUUCGAAGCGGGGAUGCUAAAGUAG
Molecule: ribosomal RNA, 843 nt
Filed under: uncultured bacterium
Lineage: Bacteria
Description: bacterial SSU rRNA
Rfam family: Bacterial small subunit ribosomal RNA
Source: RNAcentral